Non-coding RNA from Meleagris gallopavo (turkey), 255 nucleotides. The record is from RefSeq and is a predicted model, not a curated record. NCBI's taxonomy places the organism in Eukaryota, Metazoa, Chordata, Aves, Galliformes, Phasianidae.
GUUCGCGUUAAGAGGUACGGAAUAGAUACGGUACGAAGAUCUCUUUCCUGGUUGUAACUCCCGCUUUUUCUUUUCCCCCCCAUUUUAGAUAAGCAUCUGAUAAAAGAAGAUGAUAAAAAGACCGUUAUAUGCAUCGAGGGGAAUAUUGCAAGCGGAAAGACAACGUGCCUGGAUUAUUUUGCACAGACUACCAGCAUCGAGGUCUUGACAGAACCAGUGAGUAAAUGGAGGAAUGUUCGUGGUCAUAAUAUCCUG